This 464-nucleotide ribosomal RNA is filed under the name Centipeda dianae. Its description in RNAcentral is "bacterial SSU rRNA". It matches the Rfam family "Bacterial small subunit ribosomal RNA", at positions 28 to 470 of the family's 1533-position model. Lineage: Bacteria; Bacillati; Bacillota; Negativicutes; Selenomonadales; Selenomonadaceae. The record is from RNAcentral.
GACGAACGCUGGCGGCGUGCUUAACACAUGCAAGUCGAACGGAGCGAAUGAAAGCUUGCUUUUAUGAGCUUAGUGGCAAACGGGUGAGUAACACGUAGACAACCUGCCGACAGGAUGGGGACAACAUUCCGAAAGGAAUGCUAAUACCGAAUGAAGCGGAGGAGAGGCAUCUCUCUUCCGUGAAAGAUGGCCUCUUUUUAUGCUAUCACCUGUUGAUGGGUCUGCGUCUGAUUAGCUGGUUGGUGAGGUAACGGCUCACCAAGGCGACGAUCAGUAGCCGGUCUGAGAGGAUGAACGGCCACAUUGGGACUGAGACACGGCCCAGACUCCUACGGGAGGCAGCAGUGGGGAAUCUUCCGCAAUGGGCGCAAGCCUGACGGAGCAACGCCGCGUGAGUGAAGAAGGUCUUCGGAUCGUAAAGCUCUGUUGACGGGGACGAACGUGCGGAGUGCGAAUAGCGCUUU